RNAcentral lists this long non-coding RNA (956 nucleotides) under Bos taurus (domestic cattle). RNAcentral describes it as "long non-coding RNA NONBTAT009615". Lineage: Eukaryota; Metazoa; Chordata; Mammalia; Artiodactyla; Bovidae. The record is from RNAcentral.
UCAGAAGCAACUAUGAAACAAAGGAACAAUGUAACUGAAUGUAUCCUCCUGGGGCUCACUCAGAGUGUCCAGGGUCAGAAAAUAUUACUUGUCAUGUUCUUGCUAAUCUACAUUGGGACCAUGAUGGGCAACCUACUCAUUAUUGUGACUGUGAUGGUCAGCCCAACCCUGGAUGCUCCCAUGAACUUCUUUCUUGGCUACCUAUCAUUUAUAGAUGCUGUUUAUUCUACUACAGUCAUGCCAGAUAUGAUAACAGGCUUACUGUGUGAGAAGAAACCCAUUUCCUUCCUAGCUUUCAUGACCCAGAUUUUUAUGUGGCACUUUUUUGGUGAUGCUGAUAUAUGCCUCUUGGUCGUCAUGGCCUAUGACUGUUAUGUGGCCAUUUGUAAACCCUUGCAUUAUUUGACAAUCAUGAAUCAGCCAGUGUGUGCUCUGCUGCUGUUGUUGGCCUGGAUUGGUGGGUUUUACACGGAGUAUUUCAUCCUCUCUUUGUUUACAAUCUUCCCUUCUGUGGCCCGAAUAUCAUUGACCAUUUCAUCUGUGAUGUGUACCCCUUGUUAAAAAUUGCUUGCACUGACACCUACAUCACUGCUUUCACAGUGGUGGCCAAUGAUGGGGCAAUGUCUGUGGUCACCUUUACACUCUUACUUGUCUCCUAUGGGGUCAUCCUGCACUCCCUAAGGAAUGUUAGUCAAGAAGGGAGGUGCAAAACCUUGUCCACCUGUGGCUCCCACAUUACCAUGGUGGUCCUUUCUUUUUUGCCUUGUAUUUUUCUGUAUGUGAGGCCUCCUUCCACCUUACCCACUGAUAAAUCCUUAACUGUGUUUUAUACAAUUAUCACCCCUAUGUUGAAUCCUCUAAUCUUUACUCUGAGAAAUAGUGAGAUAAAAACUGCCAUGAAAAAGCUCUGGACCAGAAAAAGAAAUGGGACAGCUGGGAAAUAUAUGGCCCAUUUU